RNAcentral lists this long non-coding RNA (1244 nucleotides) under Sus scrofa (pig). RNAcentral's name for it is "lncRNA (ENSSSCG00070027535.1)". The record is from RNAcentral. Lineage: Eukaryota; Metazoa; Chordata; Mammalia; Artiodactyla; Suidae.
AUGGUCUGUGACUCCCGAGGGUGGGUGAAGCCCCUCCUGCCUGAAUGCCCUGUAAUCGGGAGGCGAUCAAUACACAAAUGGAACCCAGGCUCGCCGUCUUUGGGAACGACACCAAGGAUGCCAGGAUCCAGGGUCAGGCGUCGCACAGCCGGUUCACUUGUGCCACGAAUGUUUCUUGCGCAUUGGAUCCAUGUCAGUUUCUGGCUUGCCUGCCCGCCAGGUCUGGAGGCACGGUGGCGACCGUGUCCGCCUGGUGGCGAUGCGCAGGUGGGCCAAGUGGAGCCCGCAGCGGGGAGGCAGAGGUGGUCAGUGUGGCCGGCGUGGCUGGGGAGGGAGGAGGCGGAGGCCUGUUCAGUCUGCUUGCUCCUUGGUGAUGGGGCCCUUCCCAGCCACAGGCCAGCGUCUCUGCUCUGGCCCUUGGUGAGCCUCCACCUAACGCUGCGACCUUGAGUGGAGCACUUCACCUUCCUGUGGAACCCAGCCUGUGCCCUUGUUGGGUGAGGGCACAGGAAGAUGGUGGCGUGGCUGCAUGUGUUCCGAGCACAUGGGCUGGAGCUGAGACACCAAGCAGAGGUGUGUACGUGGCAGGUGGGAGGGGUCGGUAUCGACAAAGUACCAGGGAGGCCAAGGCAGAGGAACCCAUGCAGAAGGGGCUUCCUGCUGCUUGUCCCCCUGCCACCCACACACACAUACACACACAUACACACACAGUGUGGCAGCCUCCUUGUCUAGAAAACACAUCCAUCUCUGCUCUGCUGGCAGCCACCACUGAUGGCAGCUGCUAGGGACCCCCCUACCUGGGGUUGCAGAGAAUGGGUCCCCCACCCCGUGUUUCCAGCUUGUGUCUCUGACCGGCUUCCCCUCUGUGUCCCAAGCUGGUCAUUGGCUAAAGUGGAGUCAGGGUCAUCACCAGCCCUGAGGCACUGUCACAGCCCAGCGCUGGCCCAGGUGUGUCCACGGUGGGUGAGCAGUGAGAGCUUGGUGCAUCUUCACAAGAAUCACCACCCUGAAAGUCUCCCCUAAGCCUAGGGGCAGGUGUUCAUUUUCAGGGGGGACAGGAGGCCCAGAGAGGUGAUGGCCUUGCCUGAGGCUCCUCAACCUCAUGUCCUCUCUCCCCACACCUGUCCCUGUCCUCACUUACCCCUCAUGAGGAAGUAGCUCUGGGAAGGAAGGCGGCUGCCGCUUGAGUUCAGCCCGAUGGCAGCAGGCAUGUGGAAGGUGGCUGGGCUGGGGCUGGAGCCAGU